RNAcentral lists this ribosomal RNA (447 nucleotides) under uncultured bacterium. Its description in RNAcentral is "bacterial SSU rRNA". It matches the Rfam family "Bacterial small subunit ribosomal RNA", at positions 328 to 794 of the family's 1533-position model. The record is from RNAcentral.
AGGCCAGACUCCUACGGGAGGCAGCAGUGGGGAAUAUUGCACAAUGGGGAACCCUGAUGCAGCGACGCCGCGUGGGUGAAGAAGCGCCUCGGCGCGUAAAGCCCUGUCAGCAGGGAAGAAAAUGACGGUACCUGAAGAAGAAGCCCCGGCUAACUACGUGCCAGCAGCCGCGGUAAUACGUAGGGGACAAGCGUUAUCCGGAUUUACUGGGUGUAAAGGGGGCGCAGACGGCGAUGCAAGCCAGGAGUGAAAGCCCGGGGCUCAACCCCGGGACUGCAUUUGGAACUGUUAAGCUGGAGUGUCGGAGAGGCAGGCGGAAUUCCUAGUGUAGCGGUGAAAUGCGUAGAUAUCAGGAGGAACACCGGUGGCGAAGGCGGCCUGCUGGACUGCAACUGACGUUGAGGCCCGAAAGCGUGGGGAGCAAACAGGAUUAGAUACCCCAGUAGG